GAUGAACGCUGGCGGUGUGCCUAACACAUGCAAGUCGAACGAGCCUUCGGGCUAGUGGCGGACGGGUGAGUAACACGUUAGUACCUGCCCUUUAGUGGGAAUAACUCGGCGAAAGUCGAGCUAAUACCGCAUGUGACCGUUUACGGUCAAAGACUUCGGUCGCUAAAGGAGGGGCUUGCGUCUGAUUAGCUAGUUGGUAGGGUAAAAGCCUACCAAGGCAACGAUCAGUAGCUGGUUCGAGAGGAUGACCAGCCACACGCGGACUGAGAUACGGCCGCGACUCCUACGGGAGGCAGCAGUGAGGAAUCUUCCGCAAUGGGCGAAAGCCUGACGGAGCAAC
This 340-nucleotide ribosomal RNA is filed under the name uncultured bacterium. RNAcentral's name for it is "bacterial SSU rRNA". It matches the Rfam family "Bacterial small subunit ribosomal RNA", at positions 28 to 395 of the family's 1533-position model. The record is from RNAcentral.